Eleginops maclovinus (Patagonian blennie) is the source of this 757-nucleotide long non-coding RNA. RefSeq lists it as uncharacterized. The transcript has 3 exons. NCBI's taxonomy places the organism in Eukaryota, Metazoa, Chordata, Actinopteri, Perciformes, Eleginopidae. The record is from RefSeq and is a predicted model, not a curated record.
AUGUUUUCUAAAUUGUGCACGUGUUGUCAAGUUGUUGAAGAUGUUUUGGGCUGCUGUAAUGCGUUGGCACCUGUCGGCCACCGUACAAAGUCACUCACUGACACAAACUAACUAACUGGUUGAGGCAACGGUAGACCAGCAACUCCUCUGUUAUCAAUGUAUCGUCCGGUGGAUUUGAAAAGAGUCUCCACUUCUCAAUGGGAAAGGGCUGUUGGACAGCAAGUAAACUCAAAGGUUUGCUACGAGCUGACGAGAUAUUGAAGCAAACAGCACAGUGAAGGCUCCCUGGUGUUUGCUCAGGGAGCAGUGCUGUUACCAGAGCAGAGAGCAGAAUAAAGCUGACCAGGUUGACAACAGCAAACAGAGAGAAGGUGGAGCUACAGGUAGGAGCUUUACAGCUGUUGAGCAAAAGACAGAGCUGCUGAGGUGAAGCAGAUCGCUGCCAGGGAAGGGACUGGAGUCUGCCAAGUCUGCGAUCACGACGCACCCUCAUGCUGGAGGGCGAGGUGGGGCAAAGAGCUGCCAACAACCACUCAGAACUUCAAGAGGCCUUUCAACACCAAACAUCUCGUAUGUCCCAAGAACUGUUGGAACAUUGCGUUGACCCUAACAGCACUUUCAACAUGCCAUGUCUGACAAAAAUAUCAGACAGCUAAAUAACUGUUUUGCAGCUCGUUUGCCAAACACACAAGGAGUUUUGGGCAUGUCCUUCUGUUGAACUGUAAAUAAAACUACAAUAAUUGUGAGAGAAAUGAAA